UAGCGGAGCGUGUGGUUUAAUUCGAUGCAACACGAAGAACCUUACCAGGGCUUGACAUGUUGGAAGUAGUGAAACGAAAGUCGAACGAACUGUUAAAUCAGUAACCUUCACAGGUGCUGCAUGGCUGUCGUCAGCUCGUGCCGUGAGGUGUCGGGUUAAGUCCCAUAACGAGCGCAACCCCUGUUGCCAGUUAAUUUCUCUGGCGAGACUGCCCCGCAAAACGGGGAGGAAGGCGGGGAUGACGUCAAGUCAGUAUGGCCCUUACGCCCUGGGCCACACACACGCUACAAUGGAUGGUACAGCAGGUUGCAAUGGAGCGAUCCGGAGCUAAUCCUUAAAACCAUCCUCAGUUCGGAUUGCAGGCUGAAAUUCGCCUGCAUGAAGUCGGAGUUGCUAGUAACCGCAUAA
RNAcentral lists this ribosomal RNA (408 nucleotides) under uncultured bacterium. RNAcentral describes it as "bacterial SSU rRNA". It matches the Rfam family "Bacterial small subunit ribosomal RNA", at positions 930 to 1349 of the family's 1533-position model. The record is from RNAcentral.